AAUGCUCUGUGCUUCAUCCAAAACAACCCUAAACCAAGCUACCUUUGCCAGCGGCCGAGCAAGAGUCUCAAACAAUUCUCUGUCUGCCUCCUUCUUCUUACCACCUUUCUUGCCAAAAGCUGAAGGAUACUUCCUUUUCUUACCGGAUGGACCAUCUUCAGUUUCUUCCUCACCCUCAUCAGCAAAUGAUUUCUUUGGGACUUCCA
RNAcentral lists this long non-coding RNA (206 nucleotides) under Linum usitatissimum (flax). RNAcentral describes it as "long non-coding RNA (LUSI_LNC000075)". The record is from RNAcentral. Lineage: Eukaryota; Viridiplantae; Streptophyta; Magnoliopsida; Malpighiales; Linaceae.